UACGUAGGCAGCAAGCGUUGUUCGGAGUUACUGGGCGUAAAGAGUGCGUAGGUGGUGCCCUAAGUCUGUUGUGAAAUCUCCCGGCUUAACUGGGAGGGUGCGGUGGAAACUGGGGUGCUUGAGUGUGGGAGAGGUAAGCGGAAUUCCUGGUGUAGCGGUGAAAUGCGUAGAUAUCAGGAGGAACACCGGUGGUGUAGACGGCUUACUGGACCACGACCGACACUGAGGCACGAAAGCGUGGGUAGCAAACAGG
This 253-nucleotide ribosomal RNA is filed under the name uncultured bacterium. Its description in RNAcentral is "partial 16S ribosomal RNA". It matches the Rfam family "Bacterial small subunit ribosomal RNA", at positions 524 to 776 of the family's 1533-position model. The record is from RNAcentral.